Molecule: long non-coding RNA, 1518 nt
Organism: Papaver somniferum (opium poppy)
Lineage: Eukaryota; Viridiplantae; Streptophyta; Magnoliopsida; Ranunculales; Papaveraceae
Exons: 8
Source: RefSeq, a predicted model, not a curated record
UGAUAAUUUCUCACUCGUUUGUAUAUCAAGAAAGUAAAAAGUAGCUUAAAGCAGGAAUAUCAAUUUCAUCAUAAUGUCCAAUUUUGAUACUAACUAGUUCUUGGGAGAAAGAACGAAACAGGGUAGAAGAAGAACGAAGAACAAAAUUAGCUGAGACAAUUAUCAGCAAGAAAAGAAGAAGGAAGAAGAGAACUAGCAAGAAAAGUGAUAAGAAAUUACUGAUUGGGGUACUAAGUUUUGGGACUCGGAUCAGCUGUUCUGUCUUUCUUUCUUGAUUCAGCGUUUUUGCCAGGAAGCUCAUAAUAUGGAUACCUUUAAAGUCUUAGUAGUAGGAUAUCGGAAAACAGGGAAGAGUAGCAUCCUUAGAAGCUUAAAUGGUCAUAUGGAUCCAGAUUUAAAUACCUGCAAUGUAGAUUUUCCAACAAGAGAUGACGGGAACCUAAGAUUUGUUUGUUCCGAACAUUCGGAAAUUACUAUGACAAACGUUUGCGCUUACCACGGGAUUAUGAUAGUAUUUGAUGUUAUGCAAAUGGAGUCUUACAGACGCAUGCAAACCUUUUGCAGAAUUCUGAAAAGCUUGGGGAUGAACAAGCCGGUUGUGAUAGUUGGAAAUAAGAGUGACUAUCCCAAUUGGAAAGUUAAGGGCAUAGCUGCGGAUAAAGUUUUUGAUCUUCCAUUGUAUACCGUAUCUGCAAAGACAAAUUCAAAUGUGGAGAAACCAUUCCUUACUCUCGCCAGAUAAAUUAAAGGUGUACCUACAUUGUCCUUUGUACAAGGAGUGGAUGUGCCUCUGCCCCAGCCUGAUCUUCCCGCCCCCAUCGCUGAUAAUGCCGCUAAUGCUGACGAAGAGGCAGUUCAGGCCCCAAAUGCUGACGAAGAGGCAGCUCAGGCCCCUAUUGCCAAUGAAGAGGUUAUUCUGAAAUCUCCCACAUUGACAUGUCUAGAUGCUAUGGAUGACCCCAAUCCUGGUCCUGUUGAUGGCGCUUCUGAUCCUAAUAACAUUCCUGCUAAAGCCGCACCACUGCCAUUGCCCUCGAAUAAAGUCCUUAAUCGAAAGCCCACGCUGAGAAUUCGUGGAAAUGAAGGCGAGUUGGACUUGGAGGAUAUAAUCAGAAGCCAGAGACGUAGCUGCUGCUACUACCUUUAAGCACAAAGCUUCACUGUUUUCUGUAAAGCAGAAUUGGUUAAAGAGAUGAAGCAAUUUGUGGUAUAUUUUUUCUGCUCGUCUCUCUUGAAGACUUCAUCAGCUAUAAUGACUAUGUUUUCCUAGAUUCAGAAAACUACUGUCGGAGUUUGUAGAUUCCAGUACUUCCCUUCUGGUGUUUGAGGAGUUGUAUGGUUUUCUGAUUUUUGUUGAAGCUUAAUGACUUGUCAGACUUUGCUUGUUGCAGUCUGUUUUGGUUCUUCGAAUAUUUGUUACUUCAAGAUGAUUAUGUUUGUAUCAGAUUGAAGGGGUAUGUUUCGUUUCUUUAUGUACCCUGAGCCCUCUCCUGUAAUUGGUAUCAAAUAUUCAGUUUA